RNAcentral lists this long non-coding RNA (1309 nucleotides) under Hordeum vulgare. Its description in RNAcentral is "long non-coding RNA (HVUL_LNC009559)". The record is from RNAcentral. Lineage: Eukaryota; Viridiplantae; Streptophyta; Magnoliopsida; Poales; Poaceae.
UCCAUACAAGUGCCUAUUCCUGAACCUGUGUUUUUUAUGAUUGAAUUAGAUAAAACAAGUCUUUAUAUAUUUCUUCAGACUAGGACGAGCAUGCUGGGACGUUUUAUCAAUCUCUGUAGGUUUUGUUUUGUGGGGAUGCCCCUAAAGUUGUAUCCAAGGGUUCACCCCUUUCUUCUGUGUCAAAUAAAAUUAAAGAAAUCCCUUUUGGUGAGCAAAAUUAGAACAAUUAACGUAGUUCCUCCUUUUGAACUUCAGAAGACUCAUGUAGUAGAUAAGUUGUAUACAAAUGCUAUCAUUGUGUUGUAUAGUGGGUAUCUGAUUCAGUAACAAAUUACGAAAAGGAAUAUAGUCCAUGCUUUAUUGUGACACAUGGAUAUAUUACUUGAUAUCUUGUGCCUGUGCUGCUCCCUAUGAUAGAGUCGAAUAUAUGCAAGAAUGCCUUUAUUUUGUUCCCCAAUAAAAUGAUGAGUUCACACCCUUUAUGCAUUUCAUUCUUCUAGUGAAGGUUCCUAUGAUCUGUUUCAAAUCACACAUCCGUCCAUUAUGCUUUUCACUGUUGUAGUUGUUGUGGUGAAGGUACCUAUCUUCUGUUUCAAAUCACACAUCCAUAAAAUAAUUCUUAUGACCAGAAUAUAAUUCUUUUGUAGUGAAUAUAUUCUUUUCAUGUCUAUUACUGUUGUGACCAGAAUAAAAAAAUAAUCCUGUAUUGCAAACUUCCUUUUCUUCACUUGGCAUUGUAAAGACAGCUACUGCAUUGGUUAAGUUGGCAGGCUAGACUACCUCAAGUAGUGAAAUUUAACUAAAUCGCUAUUUUGUGCACCGUUACAGGACAAGGAAGGGAUUGUUGGUGCUCAGGGACACCGCUCCCAACACCUUUAGCCUUGGCCCGAUGCCCCAGUUCGCACAGUCAGGAGGUUUUCCGUAUCAGCUUCAGUUUGUUCACGGUGUUUUAUCAAUGAUGAUGUACUGCUUCAAAAUUUGUUCUGGUACUCUCCAAAUUUAUAUGACCCAAGAAUAUGUCCUGGAUCACUGUUUUAUAUUCAGAAGUUCAUUCUUGUUAACUGGUUGGUUUGAAUUCUUCUAGCCUUCCAUCCAAUUUUUGUGUAAACGACCAAUGUAGGGUCACUCUGCACCAAGAGUAUGGUUGUUCUAGCUAAGGAGAAUACACCAAGAAAAGCAACCGAGCAGAAUUCAGCAGCAUGCCUACAAUGACAUCUCAGUUUUGAAAAUAUAACUUGAGCAACAUCAUAAAUAUUGUGUAUCUAUUAAAUUCAUAUAUACCUGGGAUCAUUUUUCUAUAUUGAUGUAG